RNAcentral lists this ribosomal RNA (492 nucleotides) under uncultured bacterium. RNAcentral's name for it is "partial 16S ribosomal RNA". It matches the Rfam family "Bacterial small subunit ribosomal RNA", at positions 30 to 507 of the family's 1533-position model. The record is from RNAcentral.
AUUGAACGCUGGCGGCAUGCUUUACACAUGCAAGUCGAACGGUAACAGGCCUUCGGGUGCUGACGAGUGGCGAACGGGUGAGUAAUGCAUCGGAACGUGCCCAGAGGUGGGGGAUAACGCAGCGAAAGCUGUGCUAAUACCGCAUGUGAUCUGAGGAUGAAAGCGGGGGACCAGGCAGCAAUGUUUGGCCUCGCGCCUUUGGAGCGGCCGAUGUCAGAUUAGGUAGUUGGUGGGGUAAAGGCCUACCAAGCCGACGAUCUGUAGCUGGUCUGAGAGGACGACCAGCCACACUGAGACUGAGACACGGCCCAGACUCCUACGGGAGGCAGCAGUGGGGAAUUUUGGACAAUGGGCGCAAGCCUGAGCCAGCAAUGCCGCGUGCGGGAAGAAGGCCUUCGGGUUGUAAACCGCUUUUGUACGGAACGAAAAGGCUCUGGCUAAUACCUGGGGCUGAUGACGGUACCGUAAGAAUAAGCACCGGCUAACUACGUG